This 484-nucleotide ribosomal RNA is filed under the name uncultured bacterium. RNAcentral describes it as "partial 16S ribosomal RNA". It matches the Rfam family "Bacterial small subunit ribosomal RNA", at positions 30 to 507 of the family's 1533-position model. The record is from RNAcentral.
AUCGAACGCUGGCGGCAGGCCUAACACAUGCAAGUCGAGCGGAUGAAGGGAGUUUGCUCCUGGAUUCAGCGGCGGACGGGUGAGUAAUGCAUAGGAAUCUGCCUGGUCGUGGGGGGUAACGUCAGGUAACGGGAGCUAUUCCCGCAUCCGUCCUGAGGGUGAAAGAGGGGGUUCUUCGGUCAUAGCUCUAUUUGCUGCGCCGAGGUCGGAUUAGCCAGUUGGUGGGGUAAAGGCCUACCAAGGCGAGGAACCGUAACUGGUUUGAGAGGAUGGUCAGUAACACUGGAACUGGGACACGGUCCAAACUCCUACGGGAGGAGGCGGAGGGGAAUAUUGGACAAUGGCCGAAGGCCUGAUCCAGCCAUGCCGCGGGUGUGAAGAGGGUCUUCGGAUGGUAAAGCACGUUAAGAUGGGAGGAAGGGCAGUAAGUUAAUACCUUGCUGUUUUGACGUUACCAACAGAAUAAGCACCGGCUAACUUCGUG